This is a long non-coding RNA of Hirundo rustica (Barn swallow), 755 nucleotides long. RefSeq lists it as uncharacterized. The transcript is spliced from 6 exons. NCBI's taxonomy places the organism in Eukaryota, Metazoa, Chordata, Aves, Passeriformes, Hirundinidae. The record is from RefSeq and is a predicted model, not a curated record.
AACACCAGUGUGAAGUUGUGCUGGAGACCUUUGUGCUUCUGCUUGGACACGCUGCUGCAUGUGUGUGGAUAUGCACUUCUUAAUAAAUGCACAAGGGUACAGUAUGAAGAGCUGUUUUUGAGAAGCUGAGCCAAUCUUGCUUAAGCAGACGCACUGGCUUAAGCUUAAUUUGGUGUAGGGAGCAGAUGCUGUACAGCAAAAGGGCAUGGAACAGAAAGGAGACUCACCAGGUGCUCCUUUCUUCCUCAACUGUUCCUGAAAAACAAAUUGACAAAAGGAAUCAAAACAAGUCUCCAAAUUAGAUUCUUCUGUACUUGGAGGGGCAAUGGCUGGACUGGUAUGGGGUGCUGAGGAUGUCAGUGCUUGUCUUUGGACUGACAUUCCAGAUGAGAGACGACUCCUGCCAUAUUUCCUUCUAAUCAUCUACAUUUUAUACCUGGGACCUAAGGAGUUGGACAGAUCUGUUUGAAAUGGAAACUCCAUAAAGUUAUGUCGCAGCUUCCUGGGACAAAAAUGGAUCUCUUUGGACCUUUCCAUCAGAAAUUCCAUCAAGCCCCAAAUCUUUUGAUGUACUGUGGCUGAGCUGUCACAAGACCCAGUAGCACUGCAGGUGACAUGAAUUCAGAGUCUGAAUCAUGCCAUGAGUUCUGUACUUCAAGGAUCUUCAGCCAGGACAGAAAAGGAAGAGGGGGAAAUGUAUCAAAGAUCAAGGGAGACAAAAAACCCUGCAGUUUUUCAAAUGGGGUUGAUUCAAG